AGUGAACGCUGGCGGCAUGCCUAACACAUGCAAGUCGAACGGCAGCACAGUAAGAUCUUGCUCCUACGGGUGGCGAGUGGCGGACGGGUGAGGAAUACAUCGGAAUCUACUUUUUCGUGGGGGACAACGUAGGGAAACAUACGCUAAUACCUCAUACGACCUACGGGUGAAAGCAGGGGAUCUUCGGACCUUGCGCGACUGAAUGAGCCGAUGUCGGAUUAGCUAGUUGGCGGGGUAAAGGCCCACCAAGGCGACGAUCCGUAGCUGGUCUGAGAGGAUGAUCAGCCACACUGGAACUGAGACACGGUCCAGACUCCUACGGGAGGCAGCAGUGGGGAAUAUUGGACAAUGGGCGCAAGCCUGAUCCAGCCAUGCCGCGUGGGUGAAGAAGGCCUUCGGGUUGUAAAGCCCUUUUGUUCGGAAAGAAAAGCAGCAGGUUAAUACCCGGCUGUUCUGACGGUACCCAAAGAAUAAGCACCGGCUAACUUCGUG
This 492-nucleotide ribosomal RNA is filed under the name uncultured bacterium. RNAcentral describes it as "partial 16S ribosomal RNA". It matches the Rfam family "Bacterial small subunit ribosomal RNA", at positions 29 to 507 of the family's 1533-position model. The record is from RNAcentral.